This 771-nucleotide ribosomal RNA is filed under the name Zalmoxida sp. DNA104070. RNAcentral describes it as "eukaryotic LSU rRNA". It matches the Rfam family "Eukaryotic large subunit ribosomal RNA", at positions 103 to 605 of the family's 3401-position model. Lineage: Eukaryota; Metazoa; Arthropoda; Arachnida; Opiliones; Petrobunidae. The record is from RNAcentral.
AACAGCCCAUCGCCUAGUCCGCCGCUACCCUAGCGGAACGGAGAUUCGGCGUUAAGGAGAGACUCCUCCCGGCGCGGCCUGCGGUGCAAGUCCCCCUGACUGGGGCUCCCACCCCGAGAGGGUGCAAGGCCCGUAGCCGCCGCGAGGCCGUCCGGGACGUCCUCUCCCGGGAGUCGGGUUGCUUGAGAGUGCAGCCCUAAUCAGGUGGUAAACUCCAUCUAAGGCUAAAUACGACCUGGAGACCGAUAGCGAACAAGUACCGUGAGGGAAAGUUGAAAAGGACUUUGAAGAGAGAGUUCAAGAGUACGUGAAACCGUUCGGAGGUAAACGAGUGGGCCCUCGAAGAGAGAAGGCGGGGGGACUCAGCCGAACGCCCGGGCCGGCCUCACUGUCCGCGCUUCCCGCCAGGGACGCGGCUGGGAGAUCGAUCGCUCGGGUUUGCGGCGCAUUUCUUCCCGUCCUCCGACGCUGCGACCGGUCGGGCAGCUCUACGAGCAGUCGGCCUUACUCGCGGGAGCCGGCAGGUAGCCGGGUCGACGCUACGGUGCCGCCCCGGUCUCUGGCCGUCCCGUCAUCGAGUCAGCCGUUCGCCCGACCGCAGGACUUUGGCCCUCCGGGGCCUCGCCGAGGCUUCCCCCCUCCGGGGGGGAUGGGCACUCGUUCCGGGAGAGAGGUCGACGUUGUGAAUCCUGCUUCACCUCAGCGUGUGCAGGUGGCGUUGGCGCUCGCUGGCCGGAGCGUUUCCCAGCGGCCGCAGGCGGUCUGCAGCGA